CCAUUGAGUUUGAUCCUGGCUCUCGAUGAACGCUAGCGACAGGCCUAACACAUGCAAGUCGAGGGGUAACAGGGAAGCUUGCUUCCGCUGACGACCGGCGCACGGGUGCGUAACGCGUAUGAAACCUGCCUUAUACUGGGAGAUAGCCCGAAGAAAUUCCGAUUAAUACCCCAUAAUAAUAAGUUAUCGCAUGGUAAUUUAUUUAAAACUCCGGUGGUAUAAGAUGGUCGUGCGUGACAUUAGCUAGUUGGUGAGGUAAUGGCUCACCAAGGCGACGAUGUCUAGGGGUUCUGAGAGGAAGGUCCCCCACACUGGUACUGAGACACGGACCAGACUCCUACGGGAGGCAGCAGUGAGGAAUAUUGGUCAAUGGGCGAAAGCCUGAACCAGCCAUGUCGCGUGCAGGAUGACUGCCCUAUGGGUUGUAAACUGCUUUUAUAUGGGAAGAAUGUGACCUACGUGUAGGUUUUUGCCGGUACCAUAUGAAUAAGCAUCGGCUAACUCCGUGCCAGCAGCCGCGGUAAUACGGAGGAUGC
This 536-nucleotide ribosomal RNA is filed under the name uncultured Cytophagales bacterium. RNAcentral describes it as "bacterial SSU rRNA". It matches the Rfam family "Bacterial small subunit ribosomal RNA", at positions 1 to 535 of the family's 1533-position model. The record is from RNAcentral. Lineage: Bacteria; Pseudomonadati; Bacteroidota; Sphingobacteriia; Sphingobacteriales.